RNAcentral lists this ribosomal RNA (232 nucleotides) under uncultured bacterium. RNAcentral describes it as "partial 16S ribosomal RNA". It matches the Rfam family "Bacterial small subunit ribosomal RNA", at positions 99 to 334 of the family's 1533-position model. The record is from RNAcentral.
CGGACGGGUGAGUAAUGCAUAGGAAUCUACCCAGUAGCGGGGGACAACCUGGUGAAAACCAGGCUAAUACCGCAUACGCCCUACGGGGGAAAGCAGGGGAUCUUCGGACCUUGCACUAUUGGAUGAGCCUAUGUCAGAUUAGCUAGUUGGUAGGGUAAUGGCCUACCAAGGCGACGAUCUGUAGCUGGUUUGAGAGGAUGAUCAGCCACACUGGGACUGAGACACGACCCAG